AUUUUCAUUACAAUGAAGUCUUUAAUCGUAGCGUUCGCGUUGUUUUACAUUUGCACUGCAUUUCAAUUCAGUUUGGAAUUUGAGUAUAUAAAAUCGUGGGAAAAUACGAUAGCGCCUUUUAGGGAUGAAUGUUUAAAUUCAAGUGGGUUGGAGCGACAGAUACUCUACGAUGCAUUAUUCACUAUGCUGUUCCCCGAAACUCACCAGUUUAAGUGUUUUUCCGCAUGUAUUUGGUCUCAUUUGGGGUAUUACAACUCUACCUCAAGGCAAAUAAAUGUGGACAAAAUUGGACAGGAAGUUAGAGGAUUUACAAGACAAAUUGCUGAAGAUUGCUAUAAUCAGCUCGAGGAUAAUAAAAAUAUUAAAAAUU
This is a long non-coding RNA of Photinus pyralis (common eastern firefly), 370 nucleotides long. RefSeq lists it as uncharacterized. The transcript has 2 exons. The record is from RefSeq and is a predicted model, not a curated record. Lineage: Eukaryota; Metazoa; Arthropoda; Insecta; Coleoptera; Lampyridae.